GGGUUGUGAGGUUAAGCGACUAAGCGUACACGGUGGAUGCCCUGGCAGUCAGAGGCGAUGAAGGACGUGCUAAUCUGCGAUAAGCGUCGGUAAGGUGAUAUGAACCGUUAUAACCGGCGAUUUCCGAAUGGGGAAACCCAGUGUGAUUCGUCACACUAUCAUUAACUGAAUCCAUAGGUUAAUGAGGCGAACCGGGGGAACUGAAACAUCUAAGUACCCCGAGGAAAAGAAAUCAACCGAGAUUCCCCCAGUAGCGGCGAGCGAACGGGGAGCAGCCCAGAGCCUGAAUCAGUGUGUGUGUUAGUGGAAGCGUCUGGAAAGGCGCGCGAUACAGGGUGACAGCCCCGUACACAAAAAUGCACAUGCUGUGAGCUCGAUGAGUAGGGCGGGACACGUGGUAUCCUGUCUGAAUAUGGGGGGACCAUCCUCCAAGGCUAAAUACUCCUGACUGACCGAUAGUGAACCAGUACCGUGAGGGAAAGGCGAAAAGAACCCCGGCGAGGGGAGUGAAAAAGAACCUGAAACCGUGUACGUACAAGCAGUGGGAGCACGCUUAGGCAUGUGACUGCGUACCUUUUGUAUAAUGGGUCAGCGACUUAUAUUCUGUAGCAAGGUUAACCGAAUAGGGGAGCCGAAGGGAAACCGAGUCUUAACUGGGCGUUAAGUUGCAGGGUAUAGACCCGAAACCCGGUGAUCUAGCCAUGGGCAGGUUGAAGGUUGGGUAACACUAACUGGAGGACCGAACCGACUAAUGUUGAAAAAUUAGCGGAUGACUUGUGGCUGGGGGUGAAAGGCCAAUCAAACCGGGAGAUAGCUGGUUCUCCCCGAAAGCUAUUUAGGUAGCGCCUCGUGAAUUCAUCUCCGGGGGUAGAGCACUGUUUCGGCAAGGGGGUCAUCCCGACUUACCAACCCGAUGCAAACUGCGAAUACCGGAGAAUGUUAUCACGGGAGACACACGGCGGGUGCUAACGUCCGUCGUGAAGAGGGAAACAACCCAGACCGCCAGCUAAGGUCCCAAAGUCAUGGUUAAGUGGGAAACGAUGUGGGAAGGCCCAGACAGCCAGGAUGUUGGCUUAGAAGCAGCCAUCAUUUAAAGAAAGCGUAAUAGCUCACUGGUCGAGUCGGCCUGCGCGGAAGAUGUAACGGGGCUAAACCAUGCACCGAAGCUGCGGCAGCGACGCUUAUGCGUUGUUGGGUAGGGGAGCGUUCUGUAAGCCUGUGAAGGUGUGCUGUGAGGCAUGCUGGAGGUAUCAGAAGUGCGAAUGCUGACAUAAGUAACGAUAAAGCGGGUGAAAAGCCCGCUCGCCGGAAGACCAAGGGUUCCUGUCCAACGUUAAUCGGGGCAGGGUGAGUCGACCCCUAAGGCGAGGCCGAAAGGCGUAGUCGAUGGGAAACAGGUUAAUAUUCCUGUACUUGGUGUUACUGCGAAGGGGGGACGGAGAAGGCUAUGUUGGCCGGGCGACGGUUGUCCCGGUUUAAGCGUGUAGGCUGGUUUUCCAGGCAAAUCCGGAAAAUCAAGGCUGAGGCGUGAUGACGAGGCACUACGGUGCUGAAGCAACAAAUGCCCUGCUUCCAGGAAAAGCCUCUAAGCAUCAGGUAACAUCAAAUCGUACCCCAAACCGACACAGGUGGUCAGGUAGAGAAUACCAAGGCGCUUGAGAGAACUCGGGUGAAGGAACUAGGCAAAAUGGUGCCGUAACUUCGGGAGAAGGCACGCUGAUAUGUAGGUGAAGUCCCUCGCGGAUGGAGCUGAAAUCAGUCGAAGAUACCAGCUGGCUGCAACUGUUUAUUAAAAACACAGCACUGUGCAAACACGAAAGUGGACGUAUACGGUGUGACGCCUGCCCGGUGCCGGAAGGUUAAUUGAUGGGGUUAGCCGCAAGGCGAAGCUCUUGAUCGAAGCCCCGGUAAACGGCGGCCGUAACUAUAACGGUCCUAAGGUAGCGAAAUUCCUUGUCGGGUAAGUUCCGACCUGCACGAAUGGCGUAAUGAUGGCCAGGCUGUCUCCACCCGAGACUCAGUGAAAUUGAACUCGCUGUGAAGAUGCAGUGUACCCGCGGCAAGACGGAAAGACCCCGUGAACCUUUACUAUAGCUUGACACUGAACAUUGAGCCUUGAUGUGUAGGAUAGGUGGGAGGCUUUGAAGUGUGGACGCCAGUCUGCAUGGAGCCGACCUUGAAAUACCACCCUUUAAUGUUUGAUGUUCUAACGUUGACCCGUAAUCCGGGUUGCGGACAGUGUCUGGUGGGUAGUUUGACUGGGGCGGUCUCCUCCUAAAGAGUAACGGAGGAGCACGAAGGUUGGCUAAUCCUGGUCGGACAUCAGGAGGUUAGUGCAAUGGCAUAAGCCAGCUUGACUGCGAGCGUGACGGCGCGAGCAGGUGCGAAAGCAGGUCAUAGUGAUCCGGUGGUUCUGAAUGGAAGGGCCAUCGCUCAACGGAUAAAAGGUACUCCGGGGAUAACAGGCUGAUACCGCCCAAGAGUUCAUAUCGACGGCGGUGUUUGGCACCUCGAUGUCGGCUCAUCACAUCCUGGGGCUGAAGUAGGUCCCAAGGGUAUGGCUGUUCGCCAUUUAAAGUGGUACGCGAGCUGGGUUUAGAACGUCGUGAGACAGUUCGGUCCCUAUCUGCCGUGGGCGCUGGAGAACUGAGGGGGGCUGCUCCUAGUACGAGAGGACCGGAGUGGACGCAUCACUGGUGUUCGGGUUGUCAUGCCAAUGGCACUGCCCGGUAGCUAAAUGCGGAAGAGAUAAGUGCUGAAAGCAUCUAAGCACGAAACUUGCCCCGAGAUGAGUUCUCCCUGACUCCUUGAGAGUCCUGAAGGAACGUUGAAGACGACGACGUUGAUAGGCCGGGUGUGUAAGCGCAGCGAUGCGUUGAGCUAACCGGUACUAAUGAACCGUGAGGCUUAACCUUACAACGCCGAAG
This 2927-nucleotide ribosomal RNA is filed under the name Escherichia coli. RNAcentral's name for it is "bacterial LSU rRNA". It matches the Rfam family "Bacterial large subunit ribosomal RNA". The record is from RNAcentral. Lineage: Bacteria; Pseudomonadati; Pseudomonadota; Gammaproteobacteria; Enterobacterales; Enterobacteriaceae.